Molecule: ribosomal RNA, 506 nt
Filed under: uncultured bacterium
Lineage: Bacteria
Description: partial 16S ribosomal RNA
Rfam family: Bacterial small subunit ribosomal RNA
Source: RNAcentral
AGUGAACGCUGGCGGUAGGCCUAACACAUGCAAGUCGAACGGCAGCACAGGAGAGCUUGCUCUCUGGGUGGCGAGUGGCGGACGGGUGAGGAAUACAUCGGAAUCUACUUUUUCGUGGGGGAUAACGUAGGGAAACUUACGCUAAUACCGCAUACGACCUACGGGUGAAAGCAGGGGACCUUCGGGCCUUGCGCGAUUGAAUGAGCCGAUGUCGGAUUAGCUAGUUGGCGGGGUAAAGGCCCACCAAGGCGACGAUCCGUAGCUGGUCUGGGAGGAUGAUCAGCCACACUGGAACUGAGACACGGUCCAGACUCCUACGGGAGGCAGCAGUGGGGAAUAUUGGACGAUGGGCGCAAGCCUGAUCCAGCCAUACCGCGUGGGUGAAGAAGGCCUUCGGGUUGUAAAGCCCUUUUGUUGGGAAAGAAAUCCAGCUGGCUAAUACCCGGUUGGGAUGACGGUACCCAAAGAAUAAGCACCGGCUAACUUCGUGCCAGCCGCCGCAGUAA